RNAcentral lists this ribosomal RNA (254 nucleotides) under uncultured bacterium. RNAcentral describes it as "partial 16S ribosomal RNA". It matches the Rfam family "Bacterial small subunit ribosomal RNA", at positions 524 to 776 of the family's 1533-position model. The record is from RNAcentral.
CACGUAGGGGGCAAGCGUUGUCCGGAUUUAUUGGGCGUAAAGAGCUCGUAGGUGGCUCGGUAAGUCGGGUGUGAAAUUUCGAGGCUCAACCUCGAGACGCCACCUGAUACUGCUGUGGCUAGAGUCCGGUAGGGGAGCGUGGAAUUCCUGGUGUAGCGGUGAAAUGCGCAGAUAUCAGGAGGAACACCAGCGGCGAAGGCGGCGCUCUGGGCCGGUACUGACACUGAGGAGCGAAAGCGUGGGGAGCAAACAGG